Molecule: non-coding RNA, 1811 nt
Organism: Myodes glareolus (Bank vole)
Lineage: Eukaryota; Metazoa; Chordata; Mammalia; Rodentia; Cricetidae
Source: RefSeq, a predicted model, not a curated record
GACCAGGCUGUCCUUGCACUCACAGAUCCCUGUGCCUCUGCCUCCCCAGUGCUGGGAUUAAAGACAUGUGCCACCACCGCCUGGCUCAUUUUAAAACUUUUGUAAUUCUUGUUAUUUACUCAUUGAAAUGUGUGUUAGACACCUAAGCAACAGCUCUGAGCUGCCUCUGGGGAUGAAAGAAUUAAAUGAAUAGUCGUGAUUCUUUCCAACCUACACUUGGCCAGUAUGUUUGGAUCAUACUGUGUGACCACAGGGGAAGGCCAACAGGUACCUAUAGUCAGAGUAUCAUUCGCUUGCAUAUUAAAAUCCCCUCCUGUGAGGUCACAAUUGUAAUCAACAUCUCCCACCCACCCAUCUUUUUUCUUUCGCUCCUUCCAAGUUUCUGAGCAGUCAAACCCUUAGCUGCAGACCAUGAAAUCAGUAUAUAGACGUGUCUGGUCACUUCCUUCUGGGAAAAAUGAAUUAUCAGGGCUCCCCUCACCCUGUCCUGUAGGAACGUUCCAGACAAGCAAUGUAGGACUGCCACUGUCACUCUGGUGCUGUAUGCAUAGCGCUACAAACCCACUGUUCCAAGUUUUAAUUAUCGAGAGCUUUCCAUGAUACCCUGCUUGUAGCUGGAAAGAAAGUGACAGGACCAAGGGUCAUCAGCUUUUAAAACAUGUUUCUGCAUAACUUAUCAGUACUUCAUCACGCUCAACCAUAUGUGUCAUUUCCAUUGAUCAAAAUUUAGGUCAUGGUGGAUCACACAAUAUUGAAUCUACGGCAACAACUUGCUUCACAGGGUAACUAGAUGUCACAUGACCCAAAACAACUGACCUGGAGAGAUAGCACGGGCUUCUACAGUCAGGUGAGAGGUAGAGACAAGAACCCCCAGAAGCUCCCAGGCUGGCUAGUCUGUCUGCCUUACACAGGGAAGAGCAUGAGACCCUGUUUGAAACAAGGCGGAAUGCAAUUAUUGACAGCCAACCUUGACACAUGCACUACAGGCUGUGGACAUACACACAAGGUAAUUCUCUGAAGAGGAUGGCUGCUUUCAUGGUCCCAAGGCUGCUUUACCACUGUGAAUACUUCAUCCCUAUCUCAAAUCUUUGUGUAUCACUGAGGCUUGGAACUGUUGGGUCGUAUCGUCAAAGUGACAGAACAUCAUGGACAUCAGCCUGAAGCUGCUGGUCUCACUCAAAAGCCACGCUUUGGGGGUUAUUUGAGGUACGGGCUAUGGUGACAGCUAAAUGUGUCGUCGUCGCCAUCCAAAGGGGUCCCAAAAGUUGGGUAGAGGGGAUGGAUGCAGCAAUCUCUUCUGGAUGAGGCAUCUCUCAACAUUUGCACUUAACUGGACAAAGAACAUACAUCUUCUGGCAUGAUAGACACUCUACCAACUGAGCUACAUCUCUAGCCCUAACUUCUUAACUCUACCCCUCCCCCUCUUCCAUGUGAGUUGUGGGUUGUCAUGUGUGUGCUAGGAAUUGAACCUGGCUCCCCCCGAAGAGCAUCAAGUGUUUUUAACUACCGAACCUUCCUUCCAUUCCCCUUAUAUUUUAUAAUAAAAAAGAUACAUACUGUCAAGACACUGAGUCAUGGUUGGUGAUAUACAUGCAAAGGCUUUAGCAGAAGUAUUUGUUCAGUUGGAAGCUCUUCGCCCAGUCCUCCCCAUUUCAAACCCCGCCCCUCUCAGAAAGAUCACCAAAAGUCCGGGCUCCUCCCUGGAAAUUCAAGACCACAGCUACAGGGUGCCCCUGUGGCCCCCUACCUCCGGGGAUGCUGGAGAGUCACCCAAUAAUCUUUGGCCUAAUAAACCUGAUCUUUUUAAUUCA